UAAAGUAUAUUUGAUCCUCAACACUAAACCUAAACCCUUAAACCCUAAACAUAAAUCCUACACCCUAAACUAAAAAUCCAAAACCCUAAAACCGAAACCCAAAACCCUAAACCCUAAACCCUAAACUCUUAACCCUAACCCUUAAACCUAAACCCAAAACCAUAGUCCCCAAACUUUAUAACCAAAAUCCUACUUUAGCUUCUGGAAGCUGGUUGCGGUUCUAGUUCUUAUGCUCAACGAUACACAAAGCAUCUAGUAAUAUUUGGCUAUAAAUCCGCUAAUAAAGCCACUUCUUGAUUCUCAAAGCUUUGAUGGUGAAGUCAAAGAUCUUAUGAGUUUUUAGUCUUGAAUCGUAUAACAAGGAAGCACUACUUUACUUUUCGGGAUCUCGUUGAGGUUAUAGUUUUAUAUAUUCAAUCAUACACAUGAUAUC
This 433-nucleotide small RNA is filed under the name Arabidopsis thaliana (thale cress). Its description in RNAcentral is "ATSL037570". The record is from RNAcentral. Lineage: Eukaryota; Viridiplantae; Streptophyta; Magnoliopsida; Brassicales; Brassicaceae.